RNAcentral lists this long non-coding RNA (235 nucleotides) under Setaria viridis. RNAcentral's name for it is "long non-coding RNA (SVIR_LNC000676)". The record is from RNAcentral. Lineage: Eukaryota; Viridiplantae; Streptophyta; Magnoliopsida; Poales; Poaceae.
AACAAGAUCACACCCAGCAUUCAAGCAUUUCACUCAAUUUAGUGAGUUUCGCAGCUAAACUAGUGUUGUAAAAUUUCUAUUCAGAACAAGGAUGCCAAAAGUAAUUCAACAAAGGUAGAUUCAUAUUUUUCUCAUUUUUCCAAGAUUUAUAGUGCAUUUAUUGGCUUAAACCCAAAAUAAAACCUAGAGGAAAAUCUACAACAAUAACAUGUCCAAAACCAUUUUUUUGUAAAAC